Long non-coding RNA from Girardinichthys multiradiatus, 2925 nucleotides. RefSeq lists it as uncharacterized. The record is from RefSeq and is a predicted model, not a curated record. The transcript is spliced from 2 exons. Lineage: Eukaryota; Metazoa; Chordata; Actinopteri; Cyprinodontiformes; Goodeidae.
UUGCACAUUUACAAACAUGUGAAGAUCAUUUUUCAUUAGUUCUUUUUACUUCAGUACUUAAGAUUAUCGUUAUCCAUUAUACACUAUAAAAGAACAUUGAAACCACAUUUUUACAUACAUUGUAUAAAACGUUGUAUAACCAAUAUUCUUUUCUUUUUUAUUACUUUCUUCAAAUUCACAAUUUACAAACAAAAUGCAUUUAAAACAUUGGGAAACACCAUAGUAUGCCAUGCAUUUGUAAGCUUCUGAUAGUUUAGUUCACAACAUUUGAUUUAAAUGGAUGCACACUUAUGGAAGUAUCUUAGGGCAGCACUGUAAAUACACUGCUUCCUCGUGUGACAUCAAAUAAAUUUAAAGAAAUCAGGCAAGAUAAGAAGAUAAGAACAAAAACUGUGGAACUCAUCUCAGCUCAAGAUGCCAUGUUCAAUCGUUCAAACAAUUAUGUACAUAUAAAUGACAUGGGAAUGUCAAGCAAUCAAACUGUUUGGAAAGUUUUGUGUCUCACAGAAUAACAUGUUGGGUGAGAAAUAUGCAUAUCAAUUCCAAAACGAAUGCAAAAUACCUUGUGAAGAUGCUGGUCUAAGCUUGUAAGAGAUAUGAGAGCACCAUCCCAACUGGGAGAUUGGCUGCACCAUGUGAUGGGGCUGUUUUGUUGCAGGAGAGACUGGUGCUCUUUGCAAAAAAGAUGGCAUCAUGAGGACAUAGCUAUGGGAAAAUAUUGAAUCAACAUCUAAAGACUCCAGCUAGCACAUUAAAGCUUGGGCACAAAUAGAUAAUGAACCUAAGCAUACCACUCAAUUGGUCAAAGUCAAAGUUUUAGAGUGGCCAUCACUAAGCCUGAUCUCAGUCCCACAGGGCAUCUGUGAAGGAGAUUUCUAACACAUCAGCUUUGUGAUCAAAAUAUUACCUAGCAGCCUGAUAUUAUACUACAUAAGAGGAUAGAAUAAUGAAGAGAUAAUAGGUGGUAUUCACUUCACCUGUCAGUGGUCACAAUUAGCACCAUUGGUACAGAUAUAUACAGACAAAUUAUUGCUGUGGAGCCUCUGUGAAUUCCUACCAACAACACUUUACCCAAGGCAUGCAGUUGGAAUUACUUUUUUUACAAGAUACUAAGGAAAUGUCGGGAUCUGGGUUGUGUGUGUGUGUUUGUAUUGUGCUUGCAACAUUGCCUCAUUGUUUCAGAUGGUGCUGGAGUUCUCAGGUUUGCUGGGGGACAGGUGCGACUUAUUCUGCUGAUUGCUUGGAGGAGUACUUUAGCAGGAGGCUGCCAGCACUUUGAUGCAAGAGUGUUUUGCCUACUGUGGUAACAAGCUCAGUCAAUGCUAAAUCUAUGCUUUGUGUUUUGUUCUGGAAUAACUUUGUUUAUGUCCCUUCGCAGACUUUGAAUUUGAACUUUGGAUUUAUAUCACUGAACAACUGACUUCGUGUCCAGGAGUUGUCUGGAUGACCAAGAUUAUCUACGUUCUGAGGACUUCGUUUCCUAACUAUUGUUCCCAUCUGGAUUACCGACCAAGCUGGCAGUUUCCUGCUUCCUCCAUCUCUAGGACCUAAGCCUAAGCGUACCCUGUCCACCCUCCAACGCAAGUAUCAGCACAAACGAACUAACUCAAUCAUCUCCAUGCUCACCCAAGAAGCACCUAAGAAGCCAACAGAACAAACUCUGCUACAACAACUUGGAUCCCGAAUCCCUCUACCCCUGGCAACCUGACCGCACCCACUUAUUGGAGUUUCGCCUGUUUUCGUUCCUGAUUAUUUUGUGGCACAACAAAUACCAUUUCACUCUUUCUAUUUUCUCCGGAGUGUUCUCUGCAUGUGGGUCAGAGCUAUUACGAAAAUGUCAGGAAAUAUAUGCAGACUUCUAAAAUUGUGAAAAUCUCAAAAUAUUUAUAUUUCAAUAUUCUUGCAUUUAGCAAAUAGAAAUAUUAAGUUGUACUAAUUGAGCUAAAACAGGAAAGGUUAAACAUAAUUUAAUUUCAGAUGGUGAGAACAAAGUUGUGGAAAUGCUCAAAAUGGCUUAACAAAAUGUAAAGAAGACUGAACUUCCAAAUUUGGAAAGCAAUAUAGAUUAAUACAUACCAAACUACUACUGAUUAAUAGUAUCAAUAGUUUGUUAUUCCUCAUUUGAAAAGAAAGUAAUGUUUUGCUCUCAAAUUGUUAUAUCUGAGAUUUAUCCUGUUAAACCAUGUAUUCUUUGGAUAUUUUACAAAGUCAAGGUAAUAAAACUGAUUUAUAAGAAUAAUUAGGACCCAGGUAUAAAAUUUCAUUAGAUUUAAUUGAGAAACUGCUUGGAACAGAGCUCUUGCAGCAGUUGUAGCAUCAACUCUAAACUGCUUUAAAAAUAGCUCUUUCCUUGUCAUUAGUGUAUCAAGGAAAGACUUGAGAACUCAUUUAAAGAUAUCCAUGCACAUAAGUGACAUAAGGUCACUUUUAGCUCUUUAACGUUUUGUAGAUAUUCUACUUGAUAAACAGUAAAGGCAUGUGUAUACUUCUAGGAUUUAGGUGGAAGAGCUGCUUUACCUCAAAGUAAACUGCAGUUCUCAAAAAGGUACAGUGCUUUUAACUUUCCUUCAUGGGAUUCAAUGUGCUCAUGAGUUAAAGCCUAUCAGAAAGUUUAGGAAACUGCACAUUACUGUAGCAAAAAAUGAACUAUAGCAGUAAAUGAAGAGGAGGUUGGCAGACAAAUCUCCAACUUUUAAAAUUUUAUCUGUCACUGGGUAUUUAUUCAUUGGAGAUAGGUUGUACAUCUAAGGUGUAAUAUAUACAAAAAGGGAAAAACAUGCAUUGCUGUAAAUGUAAUUGUGUCAAAGUGGUUUCAAUGUAAAAUACCUUAAAUGGCAAAAAUACAACAAGAGGAAAGCAGUCUAUUAACAUAAAGCCUACUUUUUUGUUCUUCAUAACCUAGAGUAGGUACAUAUUUAAGAUGGA